RNAcentral lists this ribosomal RNA (529 nucleotides) under Pseudomonas sp. RNAcentral describes it as "bacterial SSU rRNA". It matches the Rfam family "Bacterial small subunit ribosomal RNA", at positions 71 to 596 of the family's 1533-position model. The record is from RNAcentral. Lineage: Bacteria; Pseudomonadati; Pseudomonadota; Gammaproteobacteria; Pseudomonadales; Pseudomonadaceae.
GAGAGAAGCUUGCUUCUCUUGAGAGCGGCGGACGGGUGAGUAAUGCCUAGGAAUCUGCCUGGUAGUGGGGGAUAACGUUCGGAAACGGACGCUAAUACCGCAUACGUCCUACGGGAGAAAGCAGGGGACCUUCGGGCCUUGCGCUAUCAGAUGAGCCUAGGUCGGAUUAGCUAGUUGGUGAGGUAAUGGCUCACCAAGGCGACGAUCCGUAACUGGUCUGAGAGGAUGAUCAGUCACACUGGAACUGAGACACGGUCCAGACUCCUACGGGAGGCAGCAGUGGGGAAUAUUGGACAAUGGGCGAAAGCCUGAUCCAGCCAUGCCGCGUGUGUGAAGAAGGUCUUCGGAUUGUAAAGCACUUUAAGUUGGGAGGAAGAGCAGUUACCUAAUACGUGAUUGUUUUGACGUUACCGACAGAAUAAGCACCGGCUAACUCUGUGCCAGCAGCCGCGGUAAUACAGAGGGUGCAAGCGUUAAUCGGAAUUACUGGGCGUAAAGCGCGCGUAGGUGGUUAGUUAAGUUGGAUGUG